This is a long non-coding RNA of Ornithorhynchus anatinus (platypus), 2680 nucleotides long. RefSeq lists it as uncharacterized. NCBI's taxonomy places the organism in Eukaryota, Metazoa, Chordata, Mammalia, Monotremata, Ornithorhynchidae. The transcript has 4 exons. The record is from RefSeq and is a predicted model, not a curated record.
CACACACCUGUUUCCACUCUAUACCUCACCUGCAGCUUGACGAGAGAUGUUCCGUGGAGGCAGGAAGUGCUAAGAGAACAACCCCCUAGUCGGAGCCUGGGAGACACUGUCUCUGUCGAUUAAAUCUUUGAAAUAAGCUGGUUAUUUGCCACUUUGUCAAGAGAGCAGAAGCUGGAUUGAUUCUCAAGGAAGAUGGUUCAUCUGGUGCCAGGAGGUGAUUCAAAGUGAGAUAGGAGCUGGAGGUCCAGUCCAAGUAACACCCCAGCCUCUACCUUCCAAUCGGGCCCUGGACUCCAGGGGAAACCUCUUCCUUCCAACCUGGGACUUUGGGAAGGAGGGUCAAGACCACAGACAGUUUAUUGGGUACCACAUGAGGUGACGGAUGACUGAAGGGGAUGUGUGUUUGUGAGUGACAUGGAAUUCCAUGAAGAGACUCGAGUUACUGAAGAAAGUUUUAGAUUUGGCUUUUGCUCUUGGAAAUGGAUUAUCAAAAGAACCAUAAGAAGCCACUUAAGCCUUACAGAGCAGAGAAUCCACACAGCAUCAUUUUCAUUUUUGCACACAGGGUCACAAGAGCAGUCAAAGAUAAGCCUACACACCCGGAGCAAACAUACAUGUUGGAUAAGGAAGAGCGAGGGACUUUAGCAUGCUGUUGGCUCGUUAAAUCAAACCCGAUAUUGAACCCUGGUCCCUACUGAAGAUUAGAAGUGCAAUUUGGAAAAAGCGACUUUUCCAUUCCAAAAAAAAAAAAAAAAGAAAAAUAAUCUGCAGAAGACGUCUACGAUACCCACUUGCAGUAAGGCCUUCAAGAUAUGAGGUGGUUUUUUUUAUAGCAUUUGUAUUAAGGAUUUUAGGGCAAAUACAUGAUUUUCUUUUUCUACUAGAUAAAAAGAAAAUUAGUGCUUGAAAGGUUCAAAAAUAUAUCAAUCGAGUGAUUUUUUUUCUUUACAUAAAUAAAUUAUAUUGAUUUUUGGAAUUAACAGUUGAAAAAACCCCUUUCUGCUUCCACUGGAGGCAAAACUGAACAAAAUGUUAGUUAAAUAGCGAGCGCAGCAUGUCUAAGAAAUCUGUUGUGAGUAUUUAUAUCGCAUCUGGGCUUCCAGGGUGGUGUCAAAUGGUACGGGUUUAAUUAUUAGAUUUCUUUAGUCUAGGAUCAGUUGCAUGACUUCCGUUUUUAUUACUCCGAUUUGUUAAAGGGGGAUUCUAGUUUCUGCAAACACAUUUGGUUGGUUUUUUGGUAAUGGUUUAACAGACUUCUUUGAGAUGCUAAUUUUCCACAAGUACAUAAUUCAGAAUCCCCCAGGUACAAACGACAGUGACAAAAGCAUCAAAUAAAUAAUGCAAACUGAAAGAGCCAUGGCGAACUUUUGGACCAUUGGAUAAAUUAGGCAAAACUGUAACAGAAACGAAAACUGUAACAGAAAGGAAGUAAAAAAUACAGUAAACUGGGGUGACAAAAUGGGAAACUGACGGGACUCUACCCAAACUCUUCCAUCGCUUUCAACUCUCCUGGGCUGCGGCUUCCUGUCAUUACGGCACCACAGUGGGAAGCGUUUAUUCCAUGUCUCAAACAGAGAGCUCUCACCGCCGGGGAGUGAAGUGUGGGCCCAGACCCCAAUCGGAACGGGACGGAAAGAAGGGGCGAGGAAGACAACCCAAGGGGCACCCCAUUUUAACAGAGGUCCGUGACCUUCGAUGUGGAAAGAGACUUAGGCCAAAGGCGUUGUGAGAGGAGGAGGAGAAAGAGGAGGACGGUCCGGAGUUAAAAAAAAAUCCACUGAGCCUCGGUGACCACUUAGCUCCCAGGGGCAAGUGAACGCAUGGGAAAAGCCCACCGCCUCAGAGGGGAUGAAUGCAGUAGACGAGGACGGGCUGCUAGUGUCAUCGCGGAGAAAGCGGAAGCUGAAAAUAGUGUCGACUGCUUCCCCCACCCCGGACCCACAACCGCCCUCUGUGCCAACUUUCUCAGAGCAAUCGGGGUGAGUUCUUGUAACUGGGAAAGAAAAGGGGGCCAAGUCACCAAAACUCAAGCCAUCUGUUUAUGAAAAUACUUUCAAAUGCCUAGAUGAUACUUUCAGGUACUGCAGGUGCCUGAAACAACCGUGAGGGAGAAAAUGAUCUCACUACCAGUUAGGGUUUUGCUUUUUAAAGAAGAAAUGAAUAUAUGCAUUUUCAAUCAUUAGUUAUAUACUUCUGUCUAUACUACUAAUCUAGUAACCAUGAUAAAAUAGGGCAAUAUUUUAAAUCAAAAAUACACAACAGCACGUACUAUAGCUGUGCUUUGUAUUUCCCAGACCCUUUUUUCCAUUCAGCGUAACUCACAGUCAGAGGAAACUCCCCCUGUCUCUGUUCUUCUGCGUUUCUAGGCGAGACCACCCCCCAAGAGGUAACCACUUCCCCUUUAACUUUUUCUCUCCCCUCCCCACCAUCCCCCCACCCCGAAAAAGCGAGCGAGUUUGAGGGGAUGGGAAGUGUCACCAAGUGCUGGAUUUACUAUUGUUUGCUGGAAUGAACAAGUGGAUAAACAGAACGAGAAUUCUGUGCCUCCCCUACUAGCUAGACAACACGUAUCUGACAGUGGCAAGACCCUGCAACUAUGACCGUAGGUUACAAUAGCUCUUUUACAGGGAAAUUAGGUAAUAUUACUCAUGGAAACACAGGUUUUUCUGAAGGUGAAGUG